This 475-nucleotide ribosomal RNA is filed under the name uncultured organism. Its description in RNAcentral is "partial 16S ribosomal RNA". It matches the Rfam family "Bacterial small subunit ribosomal RNA", at positions 334 to 801 of the family's 1533-position model. The record is from RNAcentral.
CACUCCUGCGGGAGGCAGCAGUGGGGAAUUUUGGACAAUGGGCGAAAGCCUGAUCCAGCAAUGCCGCGUGAGUGAAGAAGGCCUUCGGGUUGUAAAGCUCUUUUGUCAGGGAAGAAACGGUGAAAGCUAAUAUCUUUUGCUAAUGACGGUACCUGAAGAAUAAGCACCGGCUAACUACGUGCCAGCAGCCGCGGUAAUACGUAGGGUGCAAGCGUUAAUCGGAAUUACUGGGCGUAAAGCGUGCGCAGGCGGUUUUGUAAGUCUGAUGUGAAAUCCCCGGGCUCAACCUGGGAAUUGCAUUGGAGACUGCAAGGCUAGAAUCUGGCAGAGGGGGGUAGAAUUCCACGUGUAGCAGUGAAAUGCGUAGAUAUGUGGAGGAACACCGAUGGCGAAGGCAGCCCCCUGGGUCAAGAUUGACGCUCAUGCACGAAAGCGUGGGGAGCAAACAGGAUUAGAAACCCAGUAGUCCCAUGAU